Molecule: ribosomal RNA, 480 nt
Filed under: uncultured bacterium
Lineage: Bacteria
Description: partial 16S ribosomal RNA
Rfam family: Bacterial small subunit ribosomal RNA
Source: RNAcentral
GACGAACGCUGGCGGCGUGCCUAACACAUGCAAGUCGAGCGAGUGAAUUUCCUUCGGGAUUGAAGCUAGCGGCGGACGGGUGAGUAACACGUGGGCAACCUGCCUCAUAGAGGGGAAUAGCCUUUCGAAAGGAAGAUUAAUACCGCAUAAGAUUGUAGCUUCGCAUGGAGUAGCAAUUAAAGGAGCAAUCCGCUAUGAGAUGGGCCCGCGGCGCAUUAGCUAGUUGGUGAGGUAACGGCUCACCAAGGCGACGAUGCGUAGCCGACCUGAGAGGGUGAUCGGCCACAUUGGGACUGAGACACGGCCCAGACUCCUACGGGAGGCAGCAGUGGGGAAUAUUGCACAAUGGGGGAAACCCCGAUGCAGCAACGCCGCGUGAGUGAUGACGGCCUUCGGGUUGUAAAGCUCUGUCUUCAGGGACGAUAAUGACGGUACCUGAGGAGGAAGCCACGGCUAACUACGUGCCAGCAGCCGCGGUAA